AGAGAGAGACAUGCGCGCAUAUCAAUAAGCGGAGGAAAAGAAACUAACAAGGAUUCCCCUAGUAACGGCGAGUGAAGCGGGAAGAGCUCAAAUUUGAAAUCUUAAAGGGUUUCCCUUUACGAAUUGUAGUUUAAAGAAGUGUUUUCUGUUGAGGUUUUGGUAAAAGUUCUUUGGAAUAGGACAUCAUAGAGGGUGAGAAUCCCGUAUUUGACCUUUACUUUCAACUUUGUGAUACACUUUCAAAGAGUCGGAUUGUUUGGGAAUGCAGUCCAAAAUGGGUGGUAAAUUUCAUCUAAAGCUAAAUAUUGGCGAGAGACCGAUAGCGAACAAGUACCGUGAGGGGAAGAUGAUAAGAACUUUGAAAAGAGAGUUAAACAGUACGUGAAAUUGUCAAAAGGGAAGCGUUUGACACCAGUGUUGUUUUUCUGAAAAUCAAUUAAAGAACUGUUUAUGCUAAGUUGUUUAGACUUUAUCAGCUAACUGUUUAGUUUUGAGCUUUUCUUUAAUGCACUUUUCAGUUAACAAGUCAACAUCAAUUUCUUUUGCUGUAAAAAAGCUUGAGGAAGGUGGCUUGAGAUUCGUCUUAAGUGUUUAUAGCCUCUUGCCUAUGCAGUCGGAGAGAUUGAGGUCUGCAGCGUAGAUCCUUCGGGGCUAAAUGCAUUUGUGCUAAGUUAUAGCAUUUUAUAGACAACUUGUUGACUAUGAUUUGUCUUGUAGCUUACUCGCUUAUGUUAUUUUACCUACGCUUAGGAUGUUGACGCAUGAGAUAUACGC
RNAcentral lists this ribosomal RNA (774 nucleotides) under uncultured Neocallimastigales. RNAcentral's name for it is "partial large subunit ribosomal RNA". It matches the Rfam family "Eukaryotic large subunit ribosomal RNA", at positions 23 to 646 of the family's 3401-position model. The record is from RNAcentral. Lineage: Eukaryota; Fungi; Neocallimastigomycota; Neocallimastigomycetes; Neocallimastigales.